RNAcentral lists this transfer RNA (99 nucleotides) under Talaromyces rugulosus. RNAcentral describes it as "Penicillium rugulosum tRNA". It matches the Rfam family "tRNA". From Rfam's summary of the family: Transfer RNA (tRNA) molecules are approximately 80 nucleotides in length. Lineage: Eukaryota; Fungi; Ascomycota; Eurotiomycetes; Eurotiales; Trichocomaceae. The record is from Rfam by way of RNAcentral.
GGUCGAUUAACUCAGUUGGUUAGAGUGUGGUGCUAAUAGAACAUCCUAUGAAGGAUGUAAGACACGCCAAAGUCAUGGGUUCGACCCCCAUAUUGACCA